Molecule: unclassified non-coding RNA, 233 nt
Filed under: Hevea brasiliensis (rubber tree)
Lineage: Eukaryota; Viridiplantae; Streptophyta; Magnoliopsida; Malpighiales; Euphorbiaceae
Source: RNAcentral
AGAAUAUCUAACAAAAUUCUACGGACAUCGCUUUCUCUUGCAGACCUUCUCCUUCGAAAACCUAGAAUUUCAGUACUCAUCCUACCUUCUCUUUGCCCAAUCAACCUCUUAUCGCUUCCAUCCACGCUUCAUAUCAAUGGAUUGAGUGUUCUGUAAUCAAUUUUUUCUUCCUUUCAGCUUCGUCUCUCCUGUCCGACGCCUCCCGUUUGGCAGGACCUCAGUAGCUGACAGAA